Acanthosepion pharaonis is the source of this 107-nucleotide non-coding RNA. The record is from the annotation of a GenBank genome assembly. Lineage: Eukaryota; Metazoa; Mollusca; Cephalopoda; Sepiida; Sepiidae.
CCACAUCAUGUUGAAACACAAGUUUCUAUAUGAUCACCAAAGUUAAGCAAUGUCAAGCCUGGUCAGUACCUAGAUGGAUGACCACUUGGAAAUAACAGGUGCUGUAA